This 399-nucleotide RNase P RNA is filed under the name Desulfuromonas sp. RNAcentral describes it as "RNase P RNA component class A". It matches the Rfam family "Bacterial RNase P class A". From Rfam's summary of the family: Ribonuclease P (RNase P) is a ubiquitous endoribonuclease, found in archaea, bacteria and eukarya as well as chloroplasts and mitochondria. Its best characterised activity is the generation of mature 5'-ends of tRNAs by cleaving the 5'-leader elements of precursor-tRNAs. The record is from RNAcentral. Lineage: Bacteria; Pseudomonadati; Thermodesulfobacteriota; Desulfuromonadia; Desulfuromonadales; Desulfuromonadaceae.
UGAAGAAGGACAGAUGAUCGCUGCCUGCCGGUGUCUUGGACGCCUGCGGGGAGAGGAAAGUCCGGGCUCCACAGGACAGGAUGGUCCCUAACGGGGACCGGGGGUGACCCCAGGGAAAGUGCCACAGAGAGGAGACCGCCCGUCCCCGCUACGGCGGAGACGUGGUAAGGGUGAAAGGGUGAGGUAAGAGCUCACCAGUUCCGUCGGUGACGGCGGAAGCUCGGUAAACCCCAUCCGGAGCAAGGCCGAAUAGGGAAACGUUCGAGGGCGGUCCGUCCGAGGUUUCCGGGUUAGGCUGCUUGAGGCCGUCGGCAACGGCGGUCCUAGAUGAAUGAUCAUCACCCCGGCGGGGGUAACCGCGACGGGGAACAGGACCCGGCUUACGGACUUCUUCGACCA